CCUUCGGGAACUCUGACACAGGUGCUGCAUGGAACUGUCGUCAGCUCGUGUCGUGAGAUGUUGGGUUAAGUCCCGUAACGAGCGCAACCCUUGUCCUUAGUUACCAGCACGUUAUGGUGGGCACUCUAAGGAGACUGCCGGUGACAAACCGGAGGAAGGUGGGGAUGACGUCAAGUCAUCAUGGCCCUUACGGCCUGGGCUACACACGUGCUACAAUGGUCGGUACAAAGGGUUGCCAAGCCGCGAGGUGGAGCUAAUCCCAUAAAACCGAUCGUAGUCCGGAUCGCAGUCUGCAACUUGACUGCGUGAAGUCGGAAUCGCUAGUAAUCGUGAAUCAGAAUGUCACGGUGAAUACGUUCCCGGGCCUU
This 368-nucleotide ribosomal RNA is filed under the name uncultured Pseudomonas sp. Its description in RNAcentral is "bacterial SSU rRNA". It matches the Rfam family "Bacterial small subunit ribosomal RNA", at positions 1017 to 1382 of the family's 1533-position model. The record is from RNAcentral. Lineage: Bacteria; Pseudomonadati; Pseudomonadota; Gammaproteobacteria; Pseudomonadales; Pseudomonadaceae.